CACCGCGGUUAUACGAGAGGCCCGAGUUGAUACCUCCGGCGUAAAGCGUGGUUAGGAGUGUAACUAAUAGUAAAGCCGAACAUCUACAGAGCCGUCAUACGCUGUCGAAGAAUGGAAGCCCAAUCACGAAAGUAGCUUUAUAUCAACUGAACCCACGAAAGCUAGGACA
RNAcentral lists this ribosomal RNA (169 nucleotides) under Anthiinae sp. CBM:ZF:15489. RNAcentral's name for it is "partial 12S rRNA". Lineage: Eukaryota; Metazoa; Chordata; Actinopteri; Perciformes; Anthiadidae. The record is from RNAcentral.